This is a long non-coding RNA of Carya illinoinensis, 635 nucleotides long. RefSeq lists it as uncharacterized. The transcript has 3 exons. Lineage: Eukaryota; Viridiplantae; Streptophyta; Magnoliopsida; Fagales; Juglandaceae. The record is from RefSeq and is a predicted model, not a curated record.
CUACCUCUCAAUUUCUUCCCCGAUUCAAAUUUGCCCCCCGCAUUCUUACCUCUAAAUUUCUGCCCGCGUCGAAAGUCGAAACUCCUACCUCGCCCGCGUCGAUUGUGCUCUGCCCACCACCACCGGCGACGCUGUCUCUCUUUCCAGCAACACCGAGGCCGUCUGCGCAGCGCUACCACUCCACUCGUCGCCCAGCUCUACUCCCUCCCCGUCGCCAGCUCAUCUCCUUUUCUUCCUCUCCCCACCCUCGGCGUCGCCCCCCACCCCCACCAACUGCAUCACCCAUCCUCUCCCCCACCCCCACCACUCGCGUCUUCCAUCCUCUCCCCCAACCCCCCCCCCCCCCCCUUGUCGCCCAAACAGUGCUCUAGUUGGCCCGCACCCCCUCUGCACAGCAACCCCCCCGUCGACCCUCCCAUCCUCUGCCCAUGCCUCUGUCCAUUCUAUGCCACAGUUUGAAAAUGUGUUAUUUCUACUGAAGAGAUCUACGGCCACAGGCUACUAAGCUUGCUUUCACCUAUCAAAAAGAAAAAUAACUGCAACUUGCUUUCUUUGAGGUGGAGGGGAACUUGACAUAGGUUGAUUCUUGUAUGGAGUAAUGACAGGAUGAAGCAAACCAGGAAGCUAAAUUGGCC